Molecule: ribosomal RNA, 122 nt
Filed under: Pogona vitticeps (central bearded dragon)
Lineage: Eukaryota; Metazoa; Chordata; Lepidosauria; Squamata; Agamidae
Source: RNAcentral
ACAUUGAACCAAAAACUACCCUGAACACACCUGAUCAUGUCUGAUUUCAGCAGCUCAGUGGAGUCAAGGCUGGGUGGUUCUAGGAUCGGAGGUCACCAGACAGUACCAGAGAAUUCUAGGUA